This 253-nucleotide ribosomal RNA is filed under the name uncultured bacterium. Its description in RNAcentral is "partial 16S ribosomal RNA". It matches the Rfam family "Bacterial small subunit ribosomal RNA", at positions 524 to 776 of the family's 1533-position model. The record is from RNAcentral.
GACGGAGGAGGCAAGCGUUAUCCGGAAUUAUUGGGCGUAAAGCGUCCGCAGGUGGCGAUUCAAGUCUGCUGUCAAAGGUCAGGGCUUAACCACGGGAAGGCAGUGGAAACUGAAUAGCUAGAGUGCGGUAGGGGUAGAGGGAAUUCCCGGUGUAGCGGUGAAAUGCGUAGAGAUCGUGAAGAACACCAGUGGCGAAAGCGCUUUGCUGGGCCGGCACUGACACUGAGGGACGAAAGCUAGGGGAGCGAAAGGG